AGCAGCCGCGGUAAUUCCAGCUCCAAUAGCGUAUAUUAAAGUUGUUGCAGUUAAAAAGCUCGUAGUUGAAUUUCGGGAUUCUACCGUCGGUCGGGCUACCAAGUCUGUACUGGUGUGUAGAAUUCCUACCUUCUGGGGAACCAUCAUGUUAUUAAUUUAGCGUGGUGGGAAACCAGGACCUUUACCUUGAAAAAAUUAGAGUGUUCAAAGCAGGCUUAUGUCUGAAUACAUUAGCAUGGAAUAAUAGAAUAGGACGGUGGUCCUGUUUUGUUGGUUUCUGAAUCACCGUAAUGAUUAAUAGGGAUAGUUGGGGGCAUUAGUAUUCAAUUGUCAGGGGUGAAAUUCUUGGAUUUAUUGAAGACUAACUUCUGCGAAAGCAUUUGCCAAGGAUGUUUUCAUUAAUCAAGAACGAAAGUUAGGGGAUCGAAGACGAUCAGAUACCGUCGUAGUCUUAACCAUAAACUAUGCCGACUAGGGAUCGGACGAUGUUAAAUUUUAUUGACUCG
RNAcentral lists this ribosomal RNA (506 nucleotides) under uncultured Gigasporaceae. RNAcentral describes it as "SSU rRNA". It matches the Rfam family "Eukaryotic small subunit ribosomal RNA", at positions 569 to 1078 of the family's 1831-position model. Lineage: Eukaryota; Fungi; Glomeromycota; Glomeromycetes; Diversisporales; Gigasporaceae. The record is from RNAcentral.